This 1023-nucleotide ribosomal RNA is filed under the name marine metagenome. RNAcentral describes it as "bacterial SSU rRNA". It matches the Rfam family "Bacterial small subunit ribosomal RNA", at positions 54 to 1081 of the family's 1533-position model. The record is from RNAcentral.
CAUGCAAGUCGAGGGGCAGCAUUUACUUCGGUAAAUGGCGACCGGCGCACGGGUGAGUAACGCGUAUGCAACCUACCUUUAACUGGGGCAUAGCUCGAGGAAACUCGAAUUAAUUCCCCAUAGUACAUUAUAAUAUCUCAUGAUAUAAAUGUUAAAGAUUUAUCGGUUAAAGAUGGGCAUGCGUCUGAUUAGUUUGUUGGUAAGGUAACGGCUUACCAAGACUACGAUCAGUAGGGGGUCUGAGAGGAUGAUCCCCCACACUGGUACUGAGACACGGACCAGACAUCUACGGAUGGCAGCAGUAAGGAAUAUUGGGCAAUGGGCGCAAGCCUGACCCAGCCAUGCCGCGUGCAGGAUGACGACCCUAUGGGUUGUAAACUGCUUUUAUAUAGGAAGAAAAUACUCUUGCGAGAGGAUCUGACGGUACUAUAUGAAUAAGGACCGGCUAACUCCGUGCCAGCAGCCGCGGUAAUACGGAGGGUUCAAGCGUUUUCCGGAUUUAUUGGGUUUAAAGAGUGCGUAGGUGGUUUAUUAAGUCAGUGGUGAAAUCCUGCAGCUCAACUGUAGAACUGCCAUUGAUACUGGUAAACUUGAGUUUGGUUUAGGUAAGCGGAAUUUAUGAUGUAGCGGUGAAAUGCAUAGAUAUCAUAAGGAACACCAAUAGCGAAGGCAGCUUACUGGACCACAACUGACACUGAGGCACGAAAGCGUGGGUAGCGAACAGGAUUAGAUACCCUGGUAGUCCACGCCGUAAACGAUGCUCACUCGAUGUUAGCGAUAUACUGUUAGCGUCCAAGCUAAAGCGUUAAGUGAGCCACCUGGGGAGUACGCCGGCAACGGUGAAACUCAAAGGAAUUGACGGGGGUCCGCACAAGCGGUGGAGCAUGUGGUUUAAUUCGAUAAUACGCGAGGAACCUUACCUAGGCUAGAAUGCGAGUGACAUCCAGAGAGAUCUGGAGUUCUUCGGACACAAAGCAAGGUGCUGCAUGGUUGUCGUCAGCUCGUGCCGUGAGGUGUUGGGUU